RNAcentral lists this ribosomal RNA (253 nucleotides) under uncultured bacterium. RNAcentral's name for it is "partial 16S ribosomal RNA". It matches the Rfam family "Bacterial small subunit ribosomal RNA", at positions 524 to 776 of the family's 1533-position model. The record is from RNAcentral.
GACAGAGGGUGCAAACGUUGCUCGGAUUUACUGGGCGUAAAGCGCAUGUAGGCGGGCGAUUAAGUCGGGUGUGAAGUCCCUGGGCUCAACCUAGGAACUGCAUCCGAAACUGAUCACCUUGAGUAGUGGAGAGGAAAGCGGAAUUCCGGGUGUAGAGGUGAAAUUCGUAGAUAUCCGGAGGAACACCAGUGGCGAAGGCGGCUUUCUGGACACUAACUGACGCUGAGAUGCGAAAGCGUGGGGAGCAAACAGG